This 1423-nucleotide ribosomal RNA is filed under the name Salmonella enterica. RNAcentral describes it as "partial 23S ribosomal RNA". It matches the Rfam family "Bacterial large subunit ribosomal RNA", at positions 1531 to 2925 of the family's 2925-position model. The record is from RNAcentral. RNAcentral also lists the same sequence under 1 other name. Lineage: Bacteria; Pseudomonadati; Pseudomonadota; Gammaproteobacteria; Enterobacterales; Enterobacteriaceae.
UCCAGGUAAAUCCGGUUCACUUUAACACUGAGGCGUGAUGACGAGGCACUACGGUGCUGAAGCAACAAAUGCCCUGCUUCCAGGAAAAGCCUCUAAGCAUCAGGUAACAUCAAAUCGUACCCCAAACCGACACAGGUGGUCAGGUAGAGAAUACCAAGGCGCUUGAGAGAACUCGGGUGAAGGAACUAGGCAAAAUGGUGCCGUAACUUCGGGAGAAGGCACGCUGACACGUAGGUGAAGUGAUUUACUCAUGGAGCUGAAGUCAGUCGAAGAUACCAGCUGGCUGCAACUGUUUAUUAAAAACACAGCACUGUGCAAACACGAAAGUGGACGUAUACGGUGUGACGCCUGCCCGGUGCCGGAAGGUUAAUUGAUGGGGUCAGCGCAAGCGAAGCUCCUGAUCGAAGCCCCGGUAAACGGCGGCCGUAACUAUAACGGUCCUAAGGUAGCGAAAUUCCUUGUCGGGUAAGUUCCGACCUGCACGAAUGGCGUAAUGAUGGCCAGGCUGUCUCCACCCGAGACUCAGUGAAAUUGAACUCGCUGUGAAGAUGCAGUGUACCCGCGGCAAGACGGAAAGACCCCGUGAACCUUUACUAUAGCUUGACACUGAACAUUGAGCCUUGAUGUGUAGGAUAGGUGGGAGGCUUUGAAGUGUGGACGCCAGUCUGCAUGGAGCCGACCUUGAAAUACCACCCUUUAAUGUUUGAUGUUCUAACGUGGACCCGUGAUCCGGGUUGCGGACAGUGUCUGGUGGGUAGUUUGACUGGGGCGGUCUCCUCCUAAAGAGUAACGGAGGAGCACGAAGGUUGGCUAAUCCUGGUCGGACAUCAGGAGGUUAGUGCAAUGGCAUAAGCCAGCUUGACUGCGAGCGUGACGGCGCGAGCAGGUGCGAAAGCAGGUCAUAGUGAUCCGGUGGUUCUGAAUGGAAGGGCCAUCGCUCAACGGAUAAAAGGUACUCCGGGGAUAACAGGCUGAUACCGCCCAAGAGUUCAUAUCGACGGCGGUGUUUGGCACCUCGAUGUCGGCUCAUCACAUCCUGGGGCUGAAGUAGGUCCCAAGGGUAUGGCUGUUCGCCAUUUAAAGUGGUACGCGAGCUGGGUUUAGAACGUCGUGAGACAGUUCGGUCCCUAUCUGCCGUGGGCGCUGGAGAACUGAGGGGGGCUGCUCCUAGUACGAGAGGACCGGAGUGGACGCAUCACUGGUGUUCGGGUUGUCAUGCCAAUGGCACUGCCCGGUAGCUAAAUGCGGAAGAGAUAAGUGCUGAAAGCAUCUAAGCACGAAACUUGCCCCGAGAUGAGUUCUCCCUGAGACUUUAGGUCUCCUGAAGGAACGUUGAAGACGACGACGUUGAUAGGCCGGGUGUGUAAGCGCAGCGAUGCGUUGAGCUAACCGGUACUAAUGAACCGUGAGGCUUAACCUUACA